RNAcentral lists this transfer RNA (67 nucleotides) under Echinostoma caproni. It matches the Rfam family "tRNA". Rfam says of the family: Transfer RNA (tRNA) molecules are approximately 80 nucleotides in length. Their secondary structure includes four short double-helical elements and three loops (D, anti-codon, and T loops). The record is from Rfam by way of RNAcentral. Lineage: Eukaryota; Metazoa; Platyhelminthes; Trematoda; Plagiorchiida; Echinostomatidae.
GGCCUCGUCGCUCAGCUGGUAGAGCGUGCGGUGUACAAAAGCGUAGGUUCGAAUCUCACCGAGGCUA